RNAcentral lists this ribosomal RNA (497 nucleotides) under uncultured bacterium. RNAcentral's name for it is "partial 16S ribosomal RNA". It matches the Rfam family "Bacterial small subunit ribosomal RNA", at positions 28 to 508 of the family's 1533-position model. The record is from RNAcentral.
GAUGAACGCUGGCGGCGUGCCUAAUACAUGCAAGUCGAGCGAACAGACGAGGAGCUUGCUCCUCUGACGUUAGCGGCGGACGGGUGAGUAACACGUGGAUAACCUACCUAUAAGACUGGGAUAACUUCGGGAAACCGGAGCUAAUACCGGAUAAUAUAUUGAACCGCAUGGUUCAAUAGUGAAAGACGGUUUUGCUGUCACUUAUAGAUGGAUCCGCGCCGCAUUAGCUAGUUGGUAAGGUAACGGCUUACCAAGGCAACGAUGCGUAGCCGACCUGAGAGGGUGAUGGGCAACAGGGGAAGAGAGACCCGUCCCAGACCCCGGGGGGGGGCAGAGGGGGGGAUUCUUCCGCAAGGGGCGAAGGCCGGAGGGGGCAACGCCGGGGGAGGGAUGAAGUUCUGCGGACGAAAAAACUUUUUUAUUGGGGAAAAAAAAAUGGAAAUGUACUUAUGCGUGUCUGGAGGUACCAUAAUAAGAAAGCCAGGCAAAGGGAGGGC